Molecule: non-coding RNA, 82 nt
Organism: Planoprotostelium fungivorum
Lineage: Eukaryota; Evosea; Variosea; Cavosteliida; Cavosteliaceae
Source: the annotation of a GenBank genome assembly
GCAUCUUUGGCCGAGUUGGUUAAGGCGCCGUCUUAAGGCGGCGGUUCCUUCGGGAGCAUGGGUUCGAGUCCCAUAGGAUGCA